GACGAACGCUGGCGGCGUGCUUAACACAUGCAAGUCGAACGGCAAGGCCCUGCUCUUGCGGGGUGCUCGAGUGGCGAACGGGUGAGUAACACGUGAGUAACCUUCCCUUGACUUUGGGAUAACUUCAGGAAACUGGGGCUAAUACCGGAUAGGUGCUCCUGCUGCAUGGUGGGGGUUGGAAAGUUUCGGCGGUUGGGGAUGGACUCGCGGCUUAUCAGCUUGUUGGUGGGGUAGUGGCUUACCAAAGCCUUGUCGGGUAGCCGGGCUGAGAGGGGGGCCGGCCACAUUGGGCCUGAGAUGCGGCCCAGACUCCUACGGGAGGCAACGGUGGAGAGAAGUGUACAACGGGCGGAGGCCUGGUGCGACGGCGCCGCGUGCGGGAUGAGGGCAUUCGGUUUGUAUUCUGCUUUCGCUUGAGACGUGGGGAAUGUGACGGUAAUGUAUGAAGAAGCACCGGCUAACUACGUG
Molecule: ribosomal RNA, 468 nt
Filed under: uncultured bacterium
Lineage: Bacteria
Description: partial 16S ribosomal RNA
Rfam family: Bacterial small subunit ribosomal RNA
Source: RNAcentral